UUAUAGCAAUAGAAUUUCAUUUGGGCUCCAAUUCAAUUCCUUUUCGAAAAGGGAUUUAGCACCGUGGGAGUCGUAGAUCCUUCUGGAGCUAUUCCUAUCAUUCAUGGUCUGAAUAGGAAAAAUCGAAAUUUGACCUACAUAUCAAUUAAAUACUCAUCAUCAUUAUGAUCAUACUGGUAGUGGUGGGAACAUAUACGGAGUCAAAAGCAAGGUCACAUUAACUUCUACUUUCUGGGAUCAAGGGCAAUUUUUACUGGGGACAUUUUGUUCAGCUUAUCCCGUGGCAAGCUUUUCGAAGGAACUCCUGACCAGGGUAUUCUGCGUCAACUAUAGCUGUGAUAUAUGCAUGCAAGUUAUGUUAUCUAAGGGAGUGAUCGAUGACACACCAAUCUUCGUCUUUGGAAAGCUAAAGCAUCUGAACAAAUGGGAGUACGUGAAGCACAAUUUAUAGAUCAAGAAGGCUGAAUACAAUCUAGAGAUACAAUUUAAGUCAGCCAAGGAGGCCAUCCAUGUCAAUGGAGAUCUGAUUUACAUUUUAUUCCAAACACAGAACUGGGAUUUCAUCAUCACUGAAAUACACCGGUCCAACCAAGAUAAUCUUCAUUCUUUGCCUUUGUAGUUCCCAAUUCUAUGACAGAUUUUCCUUAUUCUUCACAAGUAAUGGUGGAUUUCAGCUCUUGAUGAGUACUCAUCUCUGUAAUUCCCAUUUCCGAUUUUCCUUGCAACUCUUGGUGGGACAUAUCUGCAAAAUGCUCCUCCCGCCUGAAAGAUUUCAGGUCUAGACAAGAUAAAUAAUCUUCAUCCUUGCGUCUACAAUUUCCAAUUCCAUGUCAGAUUUUCCUUGUUCUUCACAAGUAAUGGUGGAUUCCAGCUCUUGAUGAGUACUCAGGACUAUAUUUCCCAUGUCCGAUUUGUCUUGCAGCUCUUGGUUGGAUAUAUUUGCAAAAUGCUCCUCCUACUCUUCAUGAUCACUGAAAGAUUUCAGGUCCAGCCAAGAUAAUAAUCUUCAUCCUUAGCGUCUGCAAUUUUCAAUUCCAUAUCAGAUUUUCCUUGUUCUUCACAAGUAAUGGUGGAUUUCAGCUCUUGAUGAGUAUUCAGGUAUUCUUGCAGCUCUUGGUGGGACAUAUUUGCAAAAUGCUCCUUUUGCUUUUCAUGAUCACCGAAAGAUUUCAGGUCCAACCAAGAUAAAUCAUCCUUCGUGUUUGCAGUUUCCAAUUCCAUGUCAGAUUUUCCUUGUUCUCCACAAGUAAUGGUGGAACUUUCUGUAAAAUUGCCAGUGCCUUCAUACUCCUGCUUCCCUUCUUCCUUGCUUUUCUUACUAUUAUCCCUUAUUCGGCAAAGGACCCAUUUUUGGAACUGCAGUCAUGGAUAUGUUUGUGUAUAUGGUAGACAUGAAUGAGCGUGAUAGAUAUUACUUUGUAGAAAGAAAGAAUAAAUCUGCAGUUGGGAAUGGUAUAACCUCAAAACGGGUAAUUGAAUGUGGAGGAUGGUGGAGGGCCAGCAACAAUAAGCUCAUUGUAGACAAGCCAGGCAAUUGAAGAAGUGAAUCAAAACUGACUGGAUCAUGCAUGAGUACAAGCUCAAAGAGAAUACGAAUCCAGGAUGGGAGUAAAAGCAUAAACAAGAAACAUGAAGGCACUGAGAAUUUGCAGCUGCAAAUUAGUCCCAUCAAUAUUAAUAGCUUCAAUCAAACAGAUCAAUACCUUAGUACUUGUGGUUACUUGGAGCCAGGUACUAGCAGUUGGAUAUAGGUUUGAACCAACAGAUGAAGAACUCAUUUCUGGUUAAUUGAAGAGGAAGCUUAAUGGUGAACAAGAACUGCCAUCAUGCUGUCAUUGAUAUGGACAUCUAUGCAUGUGAACCGUGGUUGCUUUCAUAAGAAACCUACUGGAAAGAGAUGUGAAAUGGAAGUUUGAUGUUUAUAUUGGAAGGCCAGCAGCAGAGACAAAUGUAUUCGAAACAGCGAAUGUCUGAAUGUCAUCGCUACCUCAUAACCUUAACAUUUUUCAAGUACAAGAACAAGAAUCGGAAUUGUCAAGAAUGCAUCAAAACUGAUUGGAUCAUGCAUGAGUAGAGUCUUUCAAGAGAAACGUUCCAAAAAAGGGUCUUUUGCCAAAUAAGGGAUAAUAGUAAGAAAGCACAGAAGAAGGAAAGCAGAAGUAGAAUGAAGGCACUGACGAAAAUUCCCCCAUUACUUGUCUAGAAUGAGCCUAUUGUUGGUGGUCCUCCACCAUCCUCCACAUUCAACUGCCUGUUUUGAGGUUAUACCAUUCCCAGCUGCAGAUUUGUUCUUUCUUUCUACAAAGUAAUAUCUAUCACGCUCAUUCAUGACUAUCAUAUCAUGAUCUGCUACCCAAACAUAUGCAUGACUGCAGUUCCAAAAUUGGGUCCUUUGUCGAAUAAGAGAUAAUAGUAAGAAAAGCAAGGAAGAAGGAAAGAAAAAGAAUGAAGGCACUGACGAUUUUAUGGAAAGUUCCACCAUUACUGGUGAUGAACAAGAAAAAUCUGACAUGGAAUUGGAAACUGCAAACGCGAAGGAUGAUUUAUCUUGGCUGGACCUGAAAUCUGUCGGUGAUCAUGAAGAGCAGGAGGAGCAUUUUGAAAAUAUGUUCCACUAAGAGCUGCAAGAAUAGACCCGAGUACUCAUCAAGAGCUGAAAUCCACAAUUAAAUGUGGAUAACAAGGAAAAUCUGAUAUGGAAUUGAAAACCGUAGACGCUAAGGAUGAAGACAAUUUAUCUUGGCUAGACCUGAAAUCUUUAAGUGAUCAUGAAGAUCAGGAGAGGCAUUUUGCAAAUAUAUCCCACCAAGAGCUGUAAGAAAAUCGGACAUGGGAAUCAUAGACCCGAGUACUCAUUAAGGGCUGAAAUCCACCAUUACUCGUGAAGAACAAGAAAAAUCUGAGAUGGAAUUGAUAACUGUAGACGCGAAGGUUGAAGUAUACUUAUCUUGUCUAGACCUGAAAUCUUUUAGUGUGCAUUUUGCAUAUAUGUCCCAACAAGAGCUGUGAGGAAAAUGGGACAUGGGAAUUACAGAGAUGAGUACUCAUCAAGAGUUGAACUCUACCAUUACUUGUGAAGGACAAGGAAAAUAUGUCAUGGAAUUGGAAACUGGAUGAAGAUUGAUUGGACCUGAUAUUUCAAGUGAUGAUGAAAUCCCAUUUGUAGCAUCGCAUUACAAAAUUGGUGAUGGUUCUUGUGUGAAAUUAUUUUUGAAUCCUUGGUGUAAUGGACAGACUUUGAUUAAGCUGUUUUCUCACAGGAUCUAUAGAGUUUUAAAUCUUCCAAAAGAUGCUGAUAUUAGUGCUAUCAUCAGGAAUGGUAUGUGGCAGAUUCCAAUUCCAUUCUCUUCUAUUCUACAACAGUUUUCCAACUACAUUCUUUAUGUUCCUAUUUAUUCUGGCCAGGAUAAAUUGGAGUGGGAUGAGGGUGUGUUUUCAUUCUAGAGGGUUUGGAAUAGUGGAGAUCUCACAAGCCUAAAGUGGACUGGUUCAGCCUGUGUUGGAGUGGAGGCAGGCCUAGGGUUUCAGUUUUUUGUCGCCUGUGUUUCCAUGAUAAGCAUUUAUCCUUCCGUAAUCUGAGGAAAAGAGGCAUUACUAUUGUUUAUAUCUGUCAUCUGUGCUUUGCUGCUGAAGAUUCUACUGAUCAUAUUUUCCUUCAAUGUCCUUUCUCUACACAAGUUUGGGAUUGGUUUAAUCAGCUGUUGCCUUGGAAUGUGCCUGUAGUUCAGACUAAGCACCAGUUGGUUGUUUGGCUAUGACAAAUAAAAAUUCAGAAUCUGCUCCACAGGUUUUAUAGAAGACUUAUUACCACUGCUUUGUGGAAAAUAUGGAUGGAAAGGAAUUCUAGGUUACAUGACCAAGGGAUAAGACAUGCAGAGGAAGUUGCUAUAGCUGGAUUGGUGGGAGGUUUUGGAGCUGAUGGGAUUCUCUUCGACUGCUCUGCCUUUUGGUUCUCUUCACCGGAAGUGGAGAUUUUCUAUUUUUGUUGCUUUGUCCUUCUAGUGAGGGGGGUAUGCCCCCUCUGUUUGAUCAUGUACUCCAUGUUUUAUCCAUGAUAUGCAUAAUCUCGGGUAGGGAAAUUAAGAUGUUGGGUCGUGCUGUCUACCCGUCCAUAUAUACCUAUUCUCUUUCCCAUCCGAAUCUAGUGUGAGAUGAGCAGAGAUGAGCCCCUCGAACACUAGUCCGGAAAAUUGUUUUAUGAUUACCAUGUCUUUUUAUUAUUAUUACUACUUAUUGAAGUAGAAGAGAGAACAUGUUAAUGAACAAGACUGUUUGCCUACUUGGUACCUCCUUUAUAUUUUAGUCGAAUCUUUUCCUCUUAUUUAUUCUA
Molecule: long non-coding RNA, 4330 nt
Organism: Cornus florida
Lineage: Eukaryota; Viridiplantae; Streptophyta; Magnoliopsida; Cornales; Cornaceae
Exons: 7
Source: RefSeq, a predicted model, not a curated record